GGCUGGAGGCAGGCUGAGCCGGCGGGGGAGCGGGAGGCUGUGCCCAGCCAUGAGCCGCCUCCCUCGCUCGCUCCCGCCCGCCCUCCCGCAGGAAUCCCGGGCGGCGCGGCGGCACCCGGACGCGCGGCUCCCCGGGGCUGCGCAGCGGCAGCGGCGCGGAGAGGAGCGAGCGGGGGAGUCGCGCUGCGAGGAGGAGCCGCCGCCUCAUCCUGCGGCACCGGCCCGGCCAGCGCAGGUGGCAGUGUAGAAGCCAAGAACAAAAAUUGGCAGAAAUUGUGUUCUGUGUACGAGACGAUGAAGAGUGUACUCAUGACUAAGCACAGGAACCUGGAAAACCACAGGCUUUAGUCAGGGGAUCCCUGAUGAGUAGCCAGCCCACCAAGAAGGGACUUGAGCACACAGGUCGUUUUGGAUUAAUGCUGUGGAUCAAUCAACCCAGACCUUGUAGUUGCCCAUCAGUCGCUCAGUAGUCAGUGUAGAUUCUGUCUUUACAAUCAGCAGCUACAUCUGGCUACUGGGUCUCUGAUGACAUCUCCUACCU
This is a long non-coding RNA of Camarhynchus parvulus, 541 nucleotides long. RefSeq lists it as uncharacterized. The transcript has 4 exons. The record is from RefSeq and is a predicted model, not a curated record. NCBI's taxonomy places the organism in Eukaryota, Metazoa, Chordata, Aves, Passeriformes, Thraupidae.